This 1481-nucleotide ribosomal RNA is filed under the name uncultured organism. RNAcentral describes it as "bacterial SSU rRNA". It matches the Rfam family "Bacterial small subunit ribosomal RNA". The record is from RNAcentral.
AGGGUUUGAUCAUGGCUCAGGAUGAACGCUAGCGGCAGGCCUAACACAUGCAAGCCGAGGGGUAAGUCUCUUUCGGGAGAACACGACCGGCGCACGGGUGAGUAACGCGUAUGCAACCUACCUUUGGCACGGGGACAGCCCGGGGAAACCCGGAUUAAUACCCGGUAUAGUCUAUUAUACACCUGUAUAAAAGACGAGAGCUACGGCGGCCAAAGAUGGGCAUGCGUGCCAUUAGUUAGUUGGUAGGGUAACGGCCUACCAAGGCAUCGAUGGCUACGGGGUCUAAAAGGAUGAGCCCGCACACUGGUACUGAGACACGGACCAGACUCCUACGGGAGGCAGCAGUGAGGAAUAUUGGUCAAUGGGUGGAAGCCUGAACCAGCCAUGCCGCGUGCAGGAAGACGGCCUUAUGGGUUGUAAACUGCUUUUCUACGGGACGAACGGCUCUGACGUGUCAGAGAUUGACGGUACCGUAGGAAUAAGCAUCGGCUAACUCCGUGCCAGCAGCCGCGGUAAUACGGAGGAUGCGAGCGUUAUCCGGAUUUAUUAGGUUUAAAGGGUGCGUAGGCUGGGCAAUAAGUCAGUGGUGAAAGUCCGCGGCUCAACCGUGGGAUUGCCAUUGAAACUGUUGUUCUUGAGUACAGUCGAGGUAGGCGGAAUGUGUAAUGUAGCGGUGAAAUGCAUAGAUAUUACCCAGAACACCGAUGGCGUAGGCAGCUUACCAGCUUGGAACUGACGUUGAUGCACGAAAGCGUGGGGAGCGAACAGGAUUAGAUACCCUGGUAGUCCACGCGGUAAACGAUGAUCACUCGCUGUUGGCAAUAUAGAGUCAGCGGCUGAGCGAAAGCAUUAAGUGAUCCACCUGGGGAGUACGUCGGCAACGAUGAAACUCAAAGGAAUUGACGGGGGCCCGCACAAGCGGUGGAACAUGUGGUUAAUUUCGAUGAUACGCGAGGAACCUUACCUGGGCUUAAAUGUAGCCGGACGAUUCCGGAAACGGGAUUUCCUUAACGGCUGGUUACAAGGUGCUGCAUGGCUGUCGUCAGCUCGUGCCGUGAGGUGUCGGGUUAAGUCCCAUAACGAGCGCAACCCUUAUUCUUAGUUGCCAGCGGGUAGAGCCGGGGACUCUAAGGAGACUGCCACCGUAAGGUGUGAGGAAGGUGGGGAUGGCGUCAAGUCAGCACGGCCCUUACGUCCAGGGCUACACACGUGUUACAAUGGCCGGUACAGAAGGCAGCAAACUUGAGAGAGGGCGCGAAUCCAUGAAAGCCGGUCUCAGUUCGGAUUGGAGUCUGCAACCCGACUUCAUGAAGUUGGAAUCGCUAGUAAUCGCGCAUCAGCAAUGGCGCGGUGAAUACGUUCCCGGGCCUUGUACACACCGCCCGUCAAGCCAUGGAAGCCGGGGGUACCUGAAGUCCGUAACCGCAAGGAGCGGCCGAGGGUAAAACUGGUGACUGGGGCUAAGUCGUAACAAGGUAACC